CCAGAAUGUGGUAACAAAUGGGAUGUAUUUUCCUUCACCCUUAUUCUCUUCCUUCAUAAACCUUUGUAAUAGGAGGUUGUAUCCUAACAUGAGGUCUUCGGUUUACCUUUAGGGUGACCCAGAUAUCAAAUUUUAGUUUUCUAACGUUAGGUGGUUUGAGAUUUUCCGUUUAAGUAUUUUGCACAGGUUGCCUUUGAGGUUUCCUUUUU
This 209-nucleotide small RNA is filed under the name Vigna angularis var. angularis. RNAcentral describes it as "Non-protein coding transcript". Lineage: Eukaryota; Viridiplantae; Streptophyta; Magnoliopsida; Fabales; Fabaceae. The record is from RNAcentral.